UUACGGCCAUAUCGCGUUGAAACACUGGUUCUCGUACGAUCACCGAAGUUAAGCAACGUCCAGCCUGGUCAGUACCUAGAUGGGUGACCAUUUGUGAAUACCAGGUGCUGUAAG
Molecule: ribosomal RNA, 114 nt
Filed under: Acanthosepion pharaonis
Lineage: Eukaryota; Metazoa; Mollusca; Cephalopoda; Sepiida; Sepiidae
Source: RNAcentral